This 1815-nucleotide long non-coding RNA is filed under the name Sitophilus oryzae (rice weevil). RNAcentral's name for it is "uncharacterized LOC115891820". The record is from RNAcentral. Lineage: Eukaryota; Metazoa; Arthropoda; Insecta; Coleoptera; Curculionidae.
UACUAUACUGCUUUGGAAUGAAUUUUUUUGGGGGACAACAGCAGGAUUAGCGCCAUCUUCUAGAUGCCAUCAGGUAGGUGCGCUAGCGUAGUCGUUUGUUGUAGCAUUAGAUCCCUUUUCCCCCUUUUUAAAAAAUGUUUGUAAGACGCCUGAAAUUUGUAUAAAUUAGUUAUAUAAGUGGUUGAAUUAAGAAUUGGUGAAACUUGGAAAAUAGAAGAGGACAGAGAAGAGGAUUGCUUUGAAAUAGAAGGAAAGGAGAGAGAAGAUGUUUGAGGAAAGGAGGAGGAUUUUGUUGGCUGUAACGGAAGUUUUUUGAAUGAAAUUUGGAGCAACUGUAUUAAGAUGUUAUUGGUAUCUUGGACAUCAAGUUUCAUUUAUUUGUGUAUUAUACAAGCAUAUCUAUUAGUGGAAAUGUAGAAUGGCAGCUGUUAUAACAACUUGGAUGAAUUAUUAGAAACACCAAAGAAGUUUUGGCAUAAUUUAAACUGCGAAAAGGCUCACAAAUGACCAAUUUAUUCUACAGUAGAUACAGGACAUUAAAUUGACUUCAACAACGCAGAUAUCUCUCAAAAAUGAUAUCUGUUCGAGUGAUGUACUGGGCGUUAACAGUUUGAUGUUACAAAUCUGCAAAUGAGUUAGAACUGUACAUAAGUUUGAUGAAUGCCGGAGGAAUUUUUUGAAUGGAAUGAUACUGAAUUUUUUACCUACAAAUGACAAUUUCAAGAUACAAUCAAUAGUAUUUGGAUUGAUUGGCCUUCAUUACCAUUGUGCUAUGAAAAUGUAAGCAAUACAAAUUGGUAUUAAUGGACGUUUUGACAGCUGUUUCCAGUCCAAGUUCCAGUUUUAAUGGAAAAUCUUUAAUGGACACAGAAAAAUGCUAUUUACUGGAUUGACUUCAAUACCUGUUGCCUUUUAAUAAUGGUAUACAAUGGGACAGUUGCUGUUAGAAGUCAACAAGUAGUACUAGUUGCAAAUAAUAUAUUAUGGCGGACAUCAAAAAACUUUAAAUGGAAUGAAACUUGCAGAAAAAGACUCAGAAAGACCAUUUAGGACUGUACUUAAUAGCUGUUAGAGUGGAUGCAGUCCUUCAUCAAUGUGAGCUGAAGAAAUUGAUCGUAAUGGAAAUUUUUACAGCUGCUGUCACAACUCAACGAACAAAUUGCAGCUUUGAAGGAAAAUAUUUGAUUGGAUACAGAAAAAUGUCAGUCGUUUCAGGAUGUAAAGUUAAUAGAACCAGGGUUGGGCUCGACAUCUGUUACCUUUUAAUAAUGGCAUACGAUAGGACAAUGACUAUUAGACACCGAUAAGACAUACUAGCUGCAAAUAAUAUGUAUGGUGGUCAUAAAAGAGAUUUAAAUGAAAUGAGAAACUCCUGAGAAAAAAAAAUCAAGGAAAACCAUUUUGAACUGCUGUUACUUAAUAGCUGUUAGAGGAGAUCCAGUUCUUCAUCAAUGGUAUAAGCUGGGACAAUUGCUGUUAAAAAUCCACAAGCCGUACUAUCUGUAAAUAUUAUGGUGGACAUCAAAAAGCUUUAAAUGGAAUGAAACUUGCAAGAAAAGACUUAGAAAGACCAUUUAGGACUGUACUUAAUAGCUGUUGAAAAGUGGUCGCAGUCUUUUAUUAAUGAUAUCUCUACAUUUUCUUAACAAUGGAUAUCCCCAACAGUUGCUCCUACUCCUCACUUUCCUCUUUCACUCGACAUAAAGCAGACUCAAUACUCCUCAAUGCCUCACCAAGGUUCGUUAGCUUCAUUAAUAUUGUUAUUGUUUCAAUAAAUUUGUUUAUUGGUUUUUAUCCUCUUACUAUAUAAUUGUA